RNAcentral lists this ribosomal RNA (253 nucleotides) under uncultured bacterium. Its description in RNAcentral is "partial 16S ribosomal RNA". It matches the Rfam family "Bacterial small subunit ribosomal RNA", at positions 524 to 776 of the family's 1533-position model. The record is from RNAcentral.
GACGUAGGGUGCAAGCGUUGUCCGGAAUUAUUGGGCGUAAAGAGCGUGUAGGCGGUCUGACAGGUCUGCUGUGAAAACUCGAGGCUCAACCUCGAGAUGUCGGCGGAAACCGUCUGGCUAGAGUCCGGAAGAGGAGAGUGGAAUUCCUGGUGUAGCGGUGAAAUGCGCAGAUAUCAGGAAGAACACCUAUGGCGAAGGCAGCUCUCUGGGACGGUACUGACGCUGAGACGCGAAAGCGUGGGGAGCGAACAGG